This is a small nucleolar RNA of Camelus dromedarius (Arabian camel), 72 nucleotides long. Lineage: Eukaryota; Metazoa; Chordata; Mammalia; Artiodactyla; Camelidae. The record is from Ensembl.
UGGAUCGAUGAUGACCACUGUUCGAGUACGAGUUGUGUACGAUGAAUACGUGUCUGCAACUCUGAGGUCCGA